Molecule: ribosomal RNA, 253 nt
Filed under: uncultured bacterium
Lineage: Bacteria
Description: partial 16S ribosomal RNA
Rfam family: Bacterial small subunit ribosomal RNA
Source: RNAcentral
UACAGAGACUGCAAGCGUUAUUCGGAUUCACUGGGCGUAAAGGGUGCGCAGGCGGCCGUGUGUGUGAGGCGUGAAAGCCCGGGGCUUAACCCCGGAAUUGCACCUCAAACUACAUGGCUAGAGCAUUGGAGAGGGUAGCGGAAUUCACAGUGUAGCAGUGAAAUGCGUAGAUAUCGUGAGGAACACCAGAGGCGAAGGCGGCUACCUGGACAAUUGCUGACGCUCAGGCACGAAAGCGUGGGGAGCAAAAGGG